CCUACGGGAGGCAGCAGUGGGGAAUAUUGCGCAAUGGGCGAAAGCCUGACGCAGCGACGCCGCGUGGGGGAUGAAGGUCUUCGGAUCGUAAACCUCUGUCAGCAGGGAAGAACGGUCACUGUGCUAAUCAGCAGUGAAUUGACGGUACCUGAAGAAAAAGCAUCGGCCAACUCCGGGCCAGCAGCCGCGGUAAUACGGAGGAGGCGAGCGUUAUCCGGAUUUAGUGGGUUAAAAGGGUGCGCAGGCGGUCUGUUAAGCCAGCGGUAAAAGCCCGGGGCUCAACCCCGGCCCGCCGUUGAAACUGGCAGUCUCGAGUUGGAGAGAAGUAUGCGGAAUGCGCGGUGUAGCGGUGAAAUGCAUAGAUAUCGCGCAGAACUCCGAUUGCGAAGGCAGCAUGCCGGCUCCACACUGACGCUGAGGCACGAAAGCGUGGGUAUCGAACAGGAUUAGAUACCCGAGUAGUC
This 464-nucleotide ribosomal RNA is filed under the name uncultured bacterium. RNAcentral's name for it is "partial 16S ribosomal RNA". It matches the Rfam family "Bacterial small subunit ribosomal RNA", at positions 338 to 795 of the family's 1533-position model. The record is from RNAcentral.